GGGGGCUUGACUUGUCCACGUGGGCCCCCCCACAACCCCAUAGCCUCCUCAUUUGCUUAUGACCUUUUUAGUACAGUGUCAUGAACAUGAAGGAGGUUGAGGAGGGCCAGCGAGGUUUCCUCUCGGCCACAUUAGGUCAAUGGAAACUGAUUUCUUGACUCAUCUCCCUCUUGUCAUCACAAGAAUGUAAAUACUUUCCAGUCUCCCCUUCCUCCUCUUUAUCUCAUGGGUUUGUGACCCGCACUUGUUCCCUAAAUUUACUGGCUUAACUCAUUUUAUUUAUAACUAUUAUUCCUUCUAUAUGACCAUUUUCCAAGACAGGGGAUACAUGGUUUUAUUGACUGGAGAAGAAAACUAUUGCUUGUUAAGUAAGGUGGGUUAUUUUAUUUUAAAACAAUCUGAAAUCCUUUGUAGAAUACCAGUAUUAGGUAAUAUUUGAAAAGUCAGUUUUCUUUCCUGGACACAGAAACCCAUGCUUCUCUUCAUCUUGAGAGAAGGAAUGCUAGAAAGAAAACUGGCCAUCAACUCUCAGAAAUAAUUGAAGAAGGAUGCAAGAAUGUAUGGUAUCAAUAUAAUAUUAUUAUUGAGAAAUAGUUAACAUGUAAUUGUGAAGGUCAAGGCAAGCAUAGCUGCAGAGGCUCAGGGGUUCAGUCCAACUUCAUCACGCAGCUGAGGGCUGAGCACAGGGAAGAGACUGAGGGAGACAGGAGUGGUAUUGAGUGUAGACGGGCGCCCUUUCUUCAGUGGCUUAGUGGUAUCACAGGAUGACAAGGUUGGUGGUCAUUUAAAACAUGGAAAAGUUAACACGAACGACACUUUCAUGCUGAGGUGAUGGCGGCUCGCUCAUGGUUGCUAGUCAGAUAUGAAUUCAAAAAGAGGAUGCACCGCAGCGGGAGCGACAGCAAGUUGUGCGGCAGCAGAUGGUCUGGCAGCGGACUGGGUGGUAGCAGCUGGACACACCACAGCUGGGGCGGCAGGUGGUCUGGCAGCAGACUGGGCGCAGGCAGCUGGACACUCCACAGCUGGGGCGGCAGCAGGUGGUCUGGCAGCAGCUGGGCGGCAGCAG
Long non-coding RNA from Equus asinus (donkey), 1066 nucleotides. Lineage: Eukaryota; Metazoa; Chordata; Mammalia; Perissodactyla; Equidae. The record is from Ensembl.